RNAcentral lists this ribosomal RNA (187 nucleotides) under uncultured rumen bacterium. Its description in RNAcentral is "partial 16S ribosomal RNA". It matches the Rfam family "Bacterial small subunit ribosomal RNA", at positions 340 to 524 of the family's 1533-position model. The record is from RNAcentral.
UACGGGAGGCAGCAGUGAGGAAUAUUGGUCAAUGGGCGCAAGCCUGAACCAGCCAUGCCGCGUGAAGGAAUAAGGCCCUAUGGGUCGUAAACUUCUUUUGUGGUGGAGCAAUAAGGUGUACGCGUACACCGAUGAGAGUACAUCACGAAUAAGCAUCGGCUAACUCCGUGCCAGCAGCCGCGGUAAU